CAUCCCUCUGUCCUUGUCCCUGUGUGCACACUCCCGUGUCCCCGUCCCUGUGUCCCCAUCCCCCCAUGUCCCCGUCCCUCUGUCCCCGCACCUGUGUUCCCACUCCCAUGUCCCCAUCCCUGUGUCCCCAUGUUCCCGUCCUGUCUUUGUGUUCCCAGGUUCCCAUGUUCCCACAUCCCUGUAUCCCCGUGCCUGUGUCCCCAUCCCCACACCUAGGGAUGCCUGUCCUGUUUUGAGAGAGCUGUCCUUGCGGGCCCCCCCACGGCCUCUUCAGGGUGGGGGCCAGGGCAAGACUCAAGGACUUGCAGCCCUUCCCCAGGCUGUCCCCGCUCCCAUCCCUUCCUCUGUCAGCUCAGGGGCCUGAGCCCAGCACCCCUCCCCCACCCUGCAGACCGCCGGGUCCCCCCCCCAAACCAUCCGGGCAGCUCCCCUGUGCCUGGGGUGGCACCAGGAAGGUGCAUUCUGACUCCCUCUGGGCCUGUCCUGCCACACCUGGUGGCCCUGCGCAUGCGGGUAUGUCUGGGGGUCCAGGAGCCCUUCCCCCCACUGGCCGGGGCCACUGACUUUGGGAACAAAGCUGGGGCCUGAUCCCCCUCCACAGCCCACAUUUUUGGGGAGCCAGGCCCCAGCUUUGUCUCAACACAACCUGCUCUGCCCCUUUCAGACCUCAAGGCUGCCAGGAACCGGGGGUAGGGAUGGGGGGGGUCCCUAAGCAGUUCCACGGCUCUCAGCUCUGACUCAGACAACCCCUGCAAUGAUGGCCACGCUCGUGUGUGUCUCCUUCAAACUCUGUCUGACCUUAUGGGCUGUAAGUACACCCCCGCUGUUGUGCACCUGCCGUCCUAACCUGUUUCCAAGACCGCUUCGUCUUCCCGCACCAGAAACUCCCCUCGUUCGACAGCUCCUCGCCACCCUCCCCGGCCGGGUGCCCGCUGUUGUCCUUUCUGUCUCUGCGUUUGCCUGUUCCGACACCUCAUCAGUGGGAUCGCACAGAAUCUUCUUUUUGUGUCCACCUUGUCUCACUCAGCAUAACAUCUUCCGGGUCCACCCAUGUCGAAACGUGUUAGAAUCGCCUUCCUUUUUUUAAAAAAAAAAACUCAAUGAAUUGUAUUAUAUGUUAGUUUUAUUGCCUUCCUUUUUAUUUAUUUAUUUUUUCCUUUUCAGGGCCACACCUGCAGCACAUGGAGGUUCCCAGGCUAGGGGUCCAAUUGGAGUUGUAGCUGCCGGCCUAUGGCACGGCCACAGCCGCGCCGAUUUGUGCCGUGCCUGCGACCUACACCCCAGCUCACGGCAAUGCCGGGUCCUUAACCCAUGGAGCAAGGCCAGGGAUCGAACCUGCAACGUCAUGGUUCCUAGUCGGAUUCGUUUCCGUGGCGCCACGACGGGAACUCCCUUGCCUUCCUUUUUAAAGGUAAAUAGUGUUCCACUGUGCGCACGGGCCCCAUUGUGCAUGUCCAGUCGUCCGUCAGUGGACUUGGGGUUGUUUCCUCCUCUUGGCUGUGGUUAAAGAUGCCGCUGUGGACCUGGGUGUGCAAAUAUCUUUUCAAGACCCUGCUUUCAGUGCGGGGGACGUAUGCCCAGAAAUGGGAUUGCAGGAGCCUAUGGUAAUUCCAUUUCAUUUUUUGAAAAACUGCCAACCUGUUUUUCACAGCAGCUGCACCAUUUUACAUUCCACCCAGCUGUGCCCAGAUGCUCUAAUUUGUCCAAAUCCUCGCCAACACUUGCUUUGUUUGUUUGUUUGGGGGGCCAUGCCCACAGCAUGAGGAAGUGUCCGGACCAGGGAUCCAACCUGCACCACAGCAGCGACUCAAGCCAAAGUGGUGAUGCUGCUGGGUCCCUAACCUGCUAGGCCGCUAGGGACCUCCCAUUUGCCGCCCAGCGGUCUCCAUCCCAGUGGGUGCGAGGUGCUCCCUCUUCGCGACGGGGCUGUGCCUGUUCCGGAUGGUUAGGAUGGUUAGCGAUGUUGAGCAUCUUCUCAUGCGCUUAGUGAACACUUACGAAUCUUCCCUAAGGAAGUGUCUGUUCAGGCCCUUGCCUGUUCUCGAAUGGGCACAGGCUCUCCCCAAGCAGGUCCCAGUGCCGCCAGCUCUAGCCCACCUGCCGCUGUGUCCGCGCGCGUGUGUGCAGGUGUGUUACACUAGACAAGGCGCCCUGUUAACGUCCCACAAGAUCUUUUCAUUCCUUGUUUAUUCAUUGUCGAGUCUUAGGAGUGUUUUUGUUGUUGAAUUUGGGGUUUUGUUUGCUUUUGAGGAUUUUUUUGUUGAGGUUCAAGAGCUUUUGCUGCUGAGUUUUUAAACGUCUAAAAAUAUAGUCGGGUUAGGAAACCCCUAUCAGAUUUAUCGUUUGCAAAUAUUUUCUCCCAUUCUGUGGGCUGCCUUUUUACUCUUGAUUGUGUCUUUUGGUGCUCAAACAUUUUUUAUUUUGGCGAAGUCUUACUCAUCGCUCUCUGUCUUUCUUUUGCAGCACCGGCACCAAAUGGAAGCUCCCAGGCUACGGGUCGAAUUGGAGCUGCAGCUGCCAGCCUAUGCCACAGCCUCAGCAACACCAGAUCCAAGCUGAUUCCGUGACCUACACUGCAGCUUGCAGCAACACCAUAUCAUAAACCCACUGAAUGAGGCCAGGGAUCAAACCUGUAUCCUCAUGGAUACUAGUCAGGUUCUUAACCUGCUGAGCUACAACAGGGACUCCCAGGUAUUUCCCUUGAUUACCACGGAGAUUGCACGUACCAUCGCAGGUGUGUGACGACGGGCAUCAGAAGGACAAGGACGUGCCUCGUGUGCCCCUCAGCGCCCCGCCCUCUCCCCUCUGUUACUGUCUGCGAACUACACACCUGUGCGCGCGCAGUAAAAUUGAUGUGUGACCAUCGCUUAUGCGUUUGCCUUCGAAAUCCGGCAGCAAAUAAAAAGUGGAGUCAAAAC
Molecule: long non-coding RNA, 2918 nt
Filed under: Sus scrofa (pig)
Lineage: Eukaryota; Metazoa; Chordata; Mammalia; Artiodactyla; Suidae
Description: lncRNA (ENSSSCG00065028326.1)
Source: RNAcentral